Molecule: long non-coding RNA, 774 nt
Organism: Oncorhynchus nerka (sockeye salmon)
Lineage: Eukaryota; Metazoa; Chordata; Actinopteri; Salmoniformes; Salmonidae
Exons: 5
Source: RefSeq, a predicted model, not a curated record
GGGCCUGUUGCACAAAAGUAGAAUUAAGACAUCCGGGAUAAAUGACUCAGCUGAGCUCAAUGAAGCCAAAACAUGUGCGUCCAGGCUUAAUUGGUUGCACAAAGACCAAGCCAGGAUGAGCAGACACGGAUUCAUUAAGCCAGGUGAAACCAAUCCUGGAUAGGUGCGCGCUCACGGCUCACUCAAAUAGACCCCGCCACAGAUCACAGAUUAACUGAUUUACCAUGGCAACUAGAGCCGCGUACUUUUCCCCGUCGGAAGCACAAAUCCUCAUGGAGGCAUACGAGGAGGUAAAAUAUAUAAUUAAGAAGAAAGGCAACACCGCCACAGUGAUAAAGCAAAGAGAAAAAGCGUGGCAAAGUAUUGCAGACCGCCUGAAUGCAUUAAACAUGAACGGGCCAAAACGGACAUGGCAGCAGGUCAAAAUCAAAUACAAGAACAUUCUGCAGAAUGCAGUGAAAAAGAAUACCCACAGACAAGGCACGGGUGGUGGGUCACCAAAGGCUGACCUUACCCCAGCAGAGGACAUGGCCUUGGAGCUAAAUAAAGGCAGGCCCGUCUUAGAGGGGAUCCCUGGGGGGAAAGAGACGAGCAUAGGUUCCUCCCAAGAUGCCACCCGCUUCAUUCAAGUGCCUGGCAGCACUGUGUUCCUGUUAGAGCCACCAGCACAAGCACCAGACGAUGCUGAUCCAGGUGAAGGCCCCAGUGCAGCAGCAACAGCACAUGAUGGAGACGAUGAUGAGGAGGAGACCAUCUCUCUGGAUUCCAGAAGGC